GCCAAAAGUGUCUCGCAGAUGCUCUUUAUGACACCAGCUGACAGAUUAAUGAGUGCACUCAUAGAGAACAUAACAAGGUACAUAUUGAAGGAUGUUCUGAGGCUAGCACCUGGUUUAGAAGUUUUGCAAUUCACAGCAAUACCUCAUAAUUUUGAUUUGAUGUCCAGAAUGUCAAUUGAAGAAUGAGCCUACAAACUACAUUGUAGUUUGUAAUAUAUCCUUAUAUAUGGUGCUUGUGUUUUUUUUUCAAUUAUAAGUUUGCAUUUAUGGGCAUUACAAAGUCCCCCUUUCUUUUUCCACAAGGGACAGUAGCUGUGCCAUUCGAUUCGAAGGACAAAGAGUUGAUCACAAUGGGGUAGGAUUCAGGAUAUAUACACAAGAGUAUAGAACCAAAUUAUAUGAUGUAAUUGACCACUAUUUCUAUUAACUUUUCUUGUACACAAUGUU
Molecule: long non-coding RNA, 447 nt
Organism: Triticum dicoccoides
Lineage: Eukaryota; Viridiplantae; Streptophyta; Magnoliopsida; Poales; Poaceae
Exons: 2
Source: RefSeq, a predicted model, not a curated record